AGGAUAAUAGUUUAAAAAAAACGUUUAAAUUGCAAUUAAAAAAUAUUACAUCUUUUUAUCUUU
RNAcentral lists this transfer RNA (63 nucleotides) under Tenebrionoidea sp. 23 KM-2017. RNAcentral's name for it is "tRNA-Ala". Lineage: Eukaryota; Metazoa; Arthropoda; Insecta; Coleoptera. The record is from RNAcentral.